UUCAGUGUUAAACAUUUCUGAGUUGAUUUCAACACCCAAAGAGUAAUUUUAACACAUUCUGAGUAAAAUGGUGUCCGGUGUUGGAGUUACUUGACAGAGUGUGAUCAUCAGUGUUAAAACAACUCCAAAGAGAUGUAAUUAUACUCCGCCCCCGCAUUUCCGGCCAUUGCUGGAGAAACCGCCGCCAUUAUCCUCGCAUGGGUUCGAACGGUAGAAUUUUCAGACUCCUUGUCUUCCAUAUCUGAGACGUCUGACUCAAGCAACAGCACAAGUGCAUGGACUAAUCCCUAGCAAGAGACAAAUAACUGAGGAGACAUCUGCACUGCCUCUUAAACAGAUGGUUAAAGAUGUGUUAAAGUUCAAGUCUGGUGGUGAAGCAGUACUACAGGAGUAUCAAGAAACAGAAACCCUUACAGAUGCCACAAGAAGACAAAUGAUUAACAUACUGGUGGCUCACAUGAUUGAUACACAUGGGUAUUUUAUUUUUAUUAUUAUUUUUUAAACCAAAUAACUGCAUGGCCAUUGUGCAAAUUAAGAUAACUAGUUUAUCUUCCCUUAGGCAACUCCCUACUAAAGCAAUCAGAAAACAGAAUGCUCUUGGCAUAGUGAUGCUGUUCCCUUCCCUCAGAGAUCCAUACUCCAAGAAAGGCUCCGAACACUUUUAUGAUGCUGCAAGUGACACAGGAUACAUUGCCUGGCGUAAUAAAAACAGUCCACAGCAAUAUGGAGCGAUGCCACCAGACAGCCCUCUUCCUCAACAGUCUACAGCCAGGAAAUGGCAUCCCUUCUUUUAAUCCCUUCCACCACUUCCAGGAGGACUGAAGUCUCCAAAAAUUGCAUGCGAUGCAGCUGAAAGCCAUGUAAUCUAUCAUAAGUUUGGAGAAGCACCUCAGCAACAACCAUCCGUUCCUCCUUGCUGUUGGACGUCAGAAAAGCAACAGCUUCUACAUCGCCUUGGAUAAGCAUCUCCUCCCAUGCCAGGCAAACUGCUUCCUUGGAGCAUUUGAUGAACUUUUAAAUUUUGUGCACAUUUUAGCACAUUUUGUGUUCAGUUUGCCAUAUGAUAGUGCACUUGUGAACUUUUACACAUUACUACACAUUUUUAUGAGCAUCUUCAUGCAUUCAGAGUACUACGAAGUGAGGAAAGGUGUAUUAUAAAAAUGUCAGAGAUUAAAUUUUAUGAGCCAUUUGAUAUUCAAAACUCAUAGUGUGGCAGAUGAAAGUUUGUAUAUCAUUCCUUCUUUUGUAAUGUUUUAAUUCUACUUCAAAUUGCACUGCAAGGGAGAAUUAAAAAUAAACAUGUCGAUGGAAAUUAUGUUGUGUGUUGUAGUUGAUUUAACUAUGUUUUCAGUAUAUUUAACAGUGUUUUGUUGAUCUUUUAACCACCUAAAUUCUAAAUUCCAACCACCUAAAACAUGCAACUCU
Onychostoma macrolepis is the source of this 1425-nucleotide long non-coding RNA. RefSeq lists it as uncharacterized. Lineage: Eukaryota; Metazoa; Chordata; Actinopteri; Cypriniformes; Cyprinidae. The record is from RefSeq and is a predicted model, not a curated record. The transcript has 6 exons.